This is a small nucleolar RNA of Pipistrellus kuhlii (Kuhl's pipistrelle), 119 nucleotides long. RefSeq annotates it as small nucleolar RNA SNORA32. Lineage: Eukaryota; Metazoa; Chordata; Mammalia; Chiroptera; Vespertilionidae. The record is from RefSeq and is a predicted model, not a curated record. The transcript has a single exon.
UGUUUAUUUUUUUAUAUUAUUGCCCACAUCUCAUUUGCUGUGAACAUGACCACAAAAUAUUUUUCCCAUUAGGUUUUCUUUCUGCUAUAUUGCUAACAUUUGGCCUAUUGGGAACAUUU